This 440-nucleotide ribosomal RNA is filed under the name uncultured bacterium. RNAcentral describes it as "partial 16S ribosomal RNA". It matches the Rfam family "Bacterial small subunit ribosomal RNA", at positions 338 to 795 of the family's 1533-position model. The record is from RNAcentral.
CCUACGGGCGGCAGCAGUAGGGAAUAUUGCUCAAUGGGGGCAACCCUGAAGCAGCAACGCCGCGUGGAGGAUGAAGGUUUUCGGAUUGUAAACUCCUUUUGUUAGAGAAGAUAAUGACGGUAUCUGACGAAUAAGCACCGGCUAACUCCGUGCCAGCAGCCGCGGUAAUACGGAGGGUGCAAGCGUUACUCGGAAUCACUGGGCGUAAAGCGAGCGUAGGCGGGAUAGCAAGUCAGAUGUGAAAUCCUAUGGCUUAACCAUAGAACUGCAUUUGAAACUGUUAUUCUAGAGUAUGGGAGAGGUAGGUGGAAUUCGUGGUGUAGGGGUAAAAUGCGUAGAGAUCAAGAGGAAUACUCAUUGCGAAGGCGACCUGCUAGAACAUAACUGACGCUGAUGCGCAAAAGCGUGGGGAGCAAACAGGAUUAGAUACCCGAGUAGUC